UACGUAGGUGGCGAGCGUUGUCCGGAUUUACUGGGCGUAAAGGGAGCGUAGGCGGACUUUUAAGUGAGAUGUGAAAUACUCGGGCUCAACUUGAGUGCAGGAGAGGAGAGUGGAAUUCCUAGUGUAGCGGUGAAAUGCGUAGAUAUUAGGAGGAACACCAGUUGCGAAGGCGGCUCUCUGGACUGUAACUGACGCUGAGGCUCGAAAGCGUGGGGAGCAAACAGG
RNAcentral lists this ribosomal RNA (225 nucleotides) under uncultured bacterium. RNAcentral describes it as "partial 16S ribosomal RNA". It matches the Rfam family "Bacterial small subunit ribosomal RNA", at positions 524 to 776 of the family's 1533-position model. The record is from RNAcentral.